GAGGGGAAAGCGAGUCACCCUGAAGCAGCAACGCCGCGUGAGUGAAGAAGGUCUUCGGGUUGUAAACCUCUGUCUUCGGGGACGAAGAUGUCGGUGGCCCUCACCCAUUGAACGUACCGUUAUACACGGCACCGCCCCCGCUAUAAAGUGCCCGCGGUAAUAGUAUAA
Molecule: ribosomal RNA, 168 nt
Filed under: uncultured bacterium
Lineage: Bacteria
Description: partial 16S ribosomal RNA
Source: RNAcentral